This 505-nucleotide ribosomal RNA is filed under the name uncultured bacterium. RNAcentral describes it as "partial 16S ribosomal RNA". It matches the Rfam family "Bacterial small subunit ribosomal RNA", at positions 28 to 507 of the family's 1533-position model. The record is from RNAcentral.
GACGAACGCUGGCGGCGUGCCUAAUACAUGCAAGUAGAACGCACAGUUUAUACCGUAGCUUGCUACACCAUAGACUGUGAGUUGCGAACGGGUGAGUAACGCGUAGGUAACCUGCCUGGUAGCGGGUGAUAACUAUUGGAAACGAUAGCUAAUACCGCAUAAUAUUGAUUAUUGCAUGAUAAUUGAUUGAAAGAUGCUAUUGCAUCACUACCAGAUGGACCUGCGUUGUAUUAGCUAGUAGGUGAGGUAACGGCUCACCUAGGCGACGAUACAUAGCCGACCUGAGAGGGUGAUCGGCCACACUGGGACUGAGACACGGCCCAGACUCCUACGAGAGGCAGCAGUAGGGAAUCUUCGGCAAUGGACGAAAGUCUGACCGAGCAACGCCGCGUGAGUGAAGAAGGGUGUCGGAUCGUAAAGCUCUGUUGUAAGAGAAGAACGGGUGUGAGAGUGGAAAGUUCACACUGUGACGGUAUCUUACCAGAAAGGGACGGCUAACUACGUG